This is a ribosomal RNA of Danio rerio (zebrafish), 117 nucleotides long. NCBI's taxonomy places the organism in Eukaryota, Metazoa, Chordata, Actinopteri, Cypriniformes, Danionidae. The record is from Ensembl.
UGCCACAGCCACAUCACCUUGCAGCCCAAGACUGGUUACUCAGUGAAGCUAAGCAGGGCUGUACCUGGUCAGUGCCUGGAUGAGAGACCACAUGGGAAAACAAGGUUGCUGUUGGAG